This is a long non-coding RNA of Monopterus albus (swamp eel), 705 nucleotides long. RefSeq lists it as uncharacterized. The transcript is spliced from 4 exons. Lineage: Eukaryota; Metazoa; Chordata; Actinopteri; Synbranchiformes; Synbranchidae. The record is from RefSeq and is a predicted model, not a curated record.
ACCAGACUGUGGUCAAAAGCACAGCAGGCUGUGUAUUUUGUUGAGCUUACAGUUCCCUGGGAUUUCUCUGUAGAUACAGCUCUUGAGAGGAAGAAACUGAAAUGCACAGCAUUAGCCAUGGAGGCAGAGAAGCGUGGCUGGAAAGUUAAAGUCCACCUCAUGAAGCUUGGUUGUAGAGGAUUUGUAGCCAAGUCAACUGUCUCUCUGCUAGUGAACAGCAAAUUGGCAGAUCAGAAAAUAAGGAAGUUUCUCACUAAAAUAUGAUGAAAUAUACUUACAAACCACUGAGAUAACGGCAAUGAAGUGGGCUCUUGUGACUCAACCUGAGAGCAUGAAAAGGGCCUCAGAGGGGACCCGCCAUUGCCAGGCCCCUCUUUAUUGCCCUAACGGCUGCCUGAGCUCACUUCCCCAACCAUGGCAAGCUAGGAGAGAGAAAGGAGUGGAGUGGUGGAGAGCUCUCAGUGCUUUACCUGCUGUACCAGGCAGCCACUCUGCCAUGAAAGCCAAGGUUCCAGCUAGCAACACAGCCCCAGUUCAGCGCCAGAGGCCAGGCAAAACUCUGUCCAGGGACCCCACCUCAAUGAACUGUCAUUUGUCUCGGCCAUCCUGGCAGCACUACAGGCUGCAUUAAGCUUUGAUCUAUGGUGCGUGCCAGGCUACUUUGUCCUGGGAUUCAGACAAUGUAUCUACUGCAGAACUGAUCUG